Molecule: unclassified non-coding RNA, 258 nt
Filed under: uncultured fungus
Lineage: Eukaryota; Fungi
Description: sequence contains ITS1, 5.8S rRNA gene
Rfam family: 5.8S ribosomal RNA (bases 210-258)
Source: RNAcentral
UCUCCGUUGGUGAACCAGCGGAGGGAUCAUUACAGAGUUUUUAACUCCCAAACCCAUGUGAACUUACCAUUGUUGCCUCGGCGGAGCCUACCCUGUAGCUACCCUGUAGCGAGUUACCCUGGAACGACUUACCCUGUAACGCCUGCCGGCGGACUACUAAACUCUUGUUAUUUUUAAAGUAAUCUGAGCGUCUUAUUUUAAUAAGUCAAAACUUUCAACAACGGAUCUCUUGGUUCUGGCAUCGAUGAAGAACGCAGC